AACUCACUUAGCGACCUCUCAUCAAAAGAUCUCUGCCUCUCUAUGUUAAUCCUUGGCUUAUCAAGAAGUUUCGAGAGAUCAAAGUCAUCCAUCUCCGAAAUGGAGCAGUGAGAGCUAACAUUUUUCAAUCCACUACCUUCCAUCCUUGCUCUUAAAACCUUAGCUGAGAGAAUAAAAGGUAGUAUUCUGCCGGAAAUAAUGGAGUCGGAAGCCGGCGAUAUAGCCAGAAAAAUAAAAAUAGAAAUAGAGAGAGAAG
Molecule: unclassified non-coding RNA, 256 nt
Filed under: Hevea brasiliensis (rubber tree)
Lineage: Eukaryota; Viridiplantae; Streptophyta; Magnoliopsida; Malpighiales; Euphorbiaceae
Source: RNAcentral